GAUGAACGCUGACAGAAUGCUUAACACAUGCAAGUCAACUUGAAUUUGGGGUUUUUAACUUAGAUUUGGGUGGCGGACGGGUGAGUAACGCGUAAAGAACUUGCCUCACAGCUAGGGACAACAUUUAGAAAUGAAUGCUAAUACCUGAUAUUAUGAUUUUAAGGCAUCUUAGAAUUAUGAAAGCUAUAAGCACUGUGAGAGAGCUUUGCGUCCCAUUAGCUAGUUGGAGAGGUAACAGCUCACCAAGGCGAUGAUGGGUAGCCGGCCUGAGAGGGUGAACGGCCACAAGGGGACUGAGACACGGCCCUUACUCCUACGGGAGGCAGCAGUGGGGAAUAUUGGACAAUGGACCGAGAGUCUGAUCCAGCAAUUCUGUGUGCACGAUGAAGUUUUUCGGAAUGUAAAGUGCUUUCAGUUGGGAAGAAAAAAAUGACGGUACCAACAGAAGAAGUGACGGCUAAAUACGUGCCAGCAGCCGCGGUAAUACGUAUGUCACGAGCGUUAUCCGGAUUUAUUGGGCGUAAAGCGCGUCUAGGUGGUUAUGUAAGUCUGAUGUGAAAAUGCAGGGCUCAACUCUGUAUUGCGUUGGAAACUGUAUAACUAGAGUACUGGAGAGGUAAGCGGAACUACAAGUGUAGAGGUGAAAUUCGUAGAUAUUUGUAGGAAUGCCGAUGGGGAAGCCAGCUUACUGGACAGAUACUGACGCUAAAGCGCGAAAGCGUGGGUAGCAAACAGG
RNAcentral lists this ribosomal RNA (736 nucleotides) under uncultured Fusobacterium sp. RNAcentral's name for it is "bacterial SSU rRNA". It matches the Rfam family "Bacterial small subunit ribosomal RNA", at positions 28 to 776 of the family's 1533-position model. Lineage: Bacteria; Fusobacteriati; Fusobacteriota; Fusobacteriia; Fusobacteriales; Fusobacteriaceae. The record is from RNAcentral.